Molecule: long non-coding RNA, 531 nt
Organism: Chiloscyllium plagiosum (whitespotted bambooshark)
Lineage: Eukaryota; Metazoa; Chordata; Chondrichthyes; Orectolobiformes; Hemiscylliidae
Source: RefSeq, a predicted model, not a curated record
CACAGCAAAGAUUAAUUACUAAAUAUUAUUUAUUUAAUUAUUGCAUUAUUGUGCUGCUGUCUUAUUUAUGCUUUCGUGCUUUAAUAUUUCUUUAUGUUAUUCCCCCACCUGUGGGUUAGACGAUUGUAGGUGCCCAGGGAACCGGAAGUCAACCCGUUACAAUUGGAAUCUUGAGCCGGCCGGCUCGCGACCAUUUGAAGCAUGCCUGUUUGUACAGUACAGAUUACAUGACGCUCCCCAAUUGCACUCAAGGCGAUGGUGAGCUACCUUCUUGAAUCACCACAGACCAUGUGUCAUAAGUAGUCACAAUACCAUAAUGAUGAGAAUUUCAGGAUUUUGACGCAGCACUGAAGGAAUGGUGAUAUAUUUCCAAGUCAGGACGUUGAAAGGCUUGAAGGAGAAUUUACAGGACUACCUUGCAGAAGUCCUACAGAAAUGUGCUGGAGCUGAGAUCUGACUGACCUUCAACAAUUACAACCAUCAUCCUUUGUGCCAAGUUGGACUCUAAUCAAUGGAGAGAUGUCUGCUGAU